GACGAACGCUGGCGGCGUGCUUAACACAUGCAAGUCGAGCGGUAAGGCCCUUUCGGGGGUACACGAGCGGCGAACGGGUGAGUAACACGUGGGUGACCUGCCCUCAGCUCUGGGAUAAGCCCGGGAAACUGGGUCUAAUACUGGAUAUGACUCCAUGACGCAUGUUGUGGGGUGGAAAGCCUUGUGCGGCUGAGGAUGGGCCCGCGGCCUAUCAGCUUGUUGGUGGGGNGAUGGCCUACCAAGGCGACGACGGGUAGCCGGCCUGAGAGGGCGACCGGCCACACUGGGACUGAGACACGGCCCAGACUCCUACGGGAGGCAGCAGUGGGGAAUCUUGCGCAAUGGGCGAAAGCCUGACGCAGCGACGCCGCGUGAGGGAUGACGGCCUCGG
This 391-nucleotide ribosomal RNA is filed under the name uncultured bacterium. RNAcentral's name for it is "bacterial SSU rRNA". It matches the Rfam family "Bacterial small subunit ribosomal RNA", at positions 28 to 420 of the family's 1533-position model. The record is from RNAcentral.